GAUGAACGCUGGCGGCGUGCUUAACACAUGCAAGUCGAACGGUGAAAGAGAGCUUGCUCUCUGGAUCAGUGGCGAACGGGUGAGUAACACGUGAGCAAUCUGCCCCUGACUCUGGGAUAACAGCUGGAAACAGCUGCUAAUACCGGAUACGAGUUGCGAAGGCAUCUUCAGCAGCUGGAAAGAAUUUCGGUCAGGGAUGAGCUCGCGGCCUAUCAGCUUGUUGGUGAGGUAAUGGCUCACCAAGGCGUCGACGGGUAGCCGGCCUGAGAGGGUGACCGGCCACACUGGGACUGAGACACGGCCCAGACUCCUACGGGAGGCAGCAGUGGGGAAUAUUGCACAAUGGGCGAAAGCCUGGUGCAGCAACGCCGCGUGAGGGACGACGGCCUUCGGGUUGUAAACCUCUUUUAGCAAGGAAGAAGCGAAAGUGACGGUACUUGCAGAAAAAGCGCCGGCUAACUAC
Molecule: ribosomal RNA, 463 nt
Filed under: uncultured bacterium
Lineage: Bacteria
Description: bacterial SSU rRNA
Rfam family: Bacterial small subunit ribosomal RNA
Source: RNAcentral